AGCAGCCGCGGUAAUUCCAGCUCCAAUAGCGUAUAUUAAAGUUGCUGCAGUUAAAAAGCUCGUAGUUGAAUUUCGGGACCAAUAUGUCGGUCGUGCCUCGGUACGUACUGGCAUCGUUGGUUUCUCCCUUCUGACGAACCAUGAUGUCAUUUAUUUGGUGUCGUGGGGAAUCAGGACUGUUACUUUGAAAAAAUUAGAGUGUUUAAAGCAGGCUCACGCUUGAAUACAUUAGCAUGGAAUAAUGAAAUAGGACGUUUGAUUCUAUUUUGUUGGUUUCUAGGAUCGACGUAAUGAUUAAUAGGGAUAGUUGGGGGCAUUAGUAUUCAAUUGUCAGAGGUGAAAUUCUUGGAUUUAUUGAAGACUAACUACUGCGAAAGCAUUUGCCAAGGAUGUUUUCAUUAAUCAAGAACGAAAGUUAGAGGUUCGAAGGCGAUCAGAUACCGCCUAGUGCUAACCAUAAACGAUGCCAACCAGUAAUAAGCCUGAGUUCCUUAAAUGAACUCGGCUUGGGACUUACC
Molecule: ribosomal RNA, 518 nt
Filed under: uncultured Glomus
Lineage: Eukaryota; Fungi; Glomeromycota; Glomeromycetes; Glomerales; Glomeraceae
Description: bacterial SSU rRNA
Rfam family: Eukaryotic small subunit ribosomal RNA
Source: RNAcentral